GCAGACACAUUCCAGCCAAUCAGCAGCAGAUCCUCCCUCCAGACCCUCCCACCUCCUGGACAGCAUCCAUUUUACAUUCAUUGUGAAGCUGCAUUCUUAGUGAGCUGUCCAGGAGAUGGGAGGGUCUGGGAGGGAGGGUUUGCUGCUGAUUGGCUGGAAUGUGUCUG
Molecule: microRNA precursor, 167 nt
Filed under: Pelobates cultripes (western spadefoot toad)
Lineage: Eukaryota; Metazoa; Chordata; Amphibia; Anura; Pelobatidae
Source: RNAcentral